Molecule: transfer RNA, 75 nt
Organism: Hyphomicrobium denitrificans ATCC 51888
Lineage: Bacteria; Pseudomonadati; Pseudomonadota; Alphaproteobacteria; Hyphomicrobiales; Hyphomicrobiaceae
Rfam family: tRNA
About the family: Transfer RNA (tRNA) molecules are approximately 80 nucleotides in length. Their secondary structure includes four short double-helical elements and three loops (D, anti-codon, and T loops). Further hydrogen bonds mediate the characteristic L-shaped molecular structure. tRNAs have two regions of fundamental functional importance: the anti-codon, which is responsible for specific mRNA codon recognition, and the 3' end, to which the tRNAs corresponding amino acid is attached (by aminoacyl-tRNA synthetases). tRNAs cope with the degeneracy of the genetic code in two manners: having more than one tRNA (with a specific anti-codon) for a particular amino acid; and 'wobble' base-pairing, i.e. permitting non-standard base-pairing at the 3rd anti-codon position.
Source: Rfam
CGGAGCGUAGCGCAGCCUGGUUAGCGCACCAGUCUGGGGGACUGGGGGUCGGAGGUUCAAAUCCUCUCGCUCCGA